This 360-nucleotide ribosomal RNA is filed under the name Triticum aestivum (bread wheat). RNAcentral describes it as "partial small subunit ribosomal RNA". The record is from RNAcentral. Lineage: Eukaryota; Viridiplantae; Streptophyta; Magnoliopsida; Poales; Poaceae.
UGUAGUGUGAACGAUGAUGCAUACAUGUCAACUAUGGGUGUUGGCUUGAACAAUUCACAUUGGUCUCAAACCAAUGACAUGCAUUUUGAAGACCAUGAGUUUGAGGUGGAUGAGGAUGGUGAGGGCAUUGUCGACGCACCGAAAGGAAGGGGAGGCAACUACACCAACGACGAAGACGUUGUGCUAUGAAAAACUUGGUUGGACGUGUCGAGGGAUCUAUCCGUUAGAGGUGAUCAAAGUAGAGAUGCUUAUUGGCUCCAGAUGAAAGAACACUUUGAUCUUCGCAACAUGAGUGGAAUUGACUGCUCCGCACGAUCACUAUGCUCCCGGUGGUCGACCAUCAAUAGGGAUUGUCAAUAA